CGGGGGAGAAGCACCUGCUUGGAGCUCAGUGAGGCAAUGCACGUUGACCUUCCUGAGCCCUCUUCCUGCUUUAAGACCAUCUGGUGUGACAGAGACUUCUAAAUAACGUGUAUUGAAAUUGGUGAAAUGCUUCGAUUUGAUCCUUUGGCCUGAACCAUAAAAUUAUUUCCAUGGACUGUUUGCCUCAGUAUACCAUUAAGCAUUUAAGAGGUUGAAUAUCUUUUUUGCAAAGGACUGGAGUCAUUCCAGAAAUCACAGGAGGAAAACAACUGGUAAACUUCACAACCUACAACUUUCUUCUUUGCUUGAAGGUCUCUGGUGUUCAGCCAGUCUCCUAUGGUGCUUUGCCUUGAAAACACAUAGCGAG
Molecule: long non-coding RNA, 367 nt
Organism: Hirundo rustica (Barn swallow)
Lineage: Eukaryota; Metazoa; Chordata; Aves; Passeriformes; Hirundinidae
Exons: 3
Source: RefSeq, a predicted model, not a curated record